UACGGGGGGGGCAAGCGUUGUUCGGAAUUACUGGGCGUAAAGGGCUCGUAGGCGGCCAACUAAGUCAGACGUGAAAUCCCUCGGCUUAACCGGGGAACUGCGUCUGAUACUGGAUGGCUAGAGGUUGGGAGAGGGAUGCGGAAUUCCAGGUGUAGCGGUGAAAUGCGUAGAUAUCUGGAGGAGCACCGGUGGCGAAGGCGGCAUCCUGGACCAACACUGACGCUGAGUGAGCGAAAGCCAGGGGAGCAAACGGG
This 254-nucleotide ribosomal RNA is filed under the name uncultured bacterium. RNAcentral's name for it is "partial 16S ribosomal RNA". It matches the Rfam family "Bacterial small subunit ribosomal RNA", at positions 524 to 776 of the family's 1533-position model. The record is from RNAcentral.